This 597-nucleotide ribosomal RNA is filed under the name uncultured bacterium. RNAcentral describes it as "bacterial SSU rRNA". It matches the Rfam family "Bacterial small subunit ribosomal RNA", at positions 9 to 601 of the family's 1533-position model. The record is from RNAcentral.
GAGUUUGAUCCUGGCUCAAGAUGAACGCUGGCGGCGUGCUUAACACAUGCAAGUCGAACGGGGAUUACACGGAGAUGCGAUUUCGGUCAAAUCAAGUGCAAUCUUAGUGGCGGACGGGUGAGUAACGCGUGGGUAACCUGCCUUGCACUGGGGGAUAACACUUAGAAAUAGGUGCUAAUACCGCAUAAGCGCACGGUCCUGCAUGGGACAGUGUGAAAAACUCCGGUGGUGCAAGAUGGACCCGCGUCUGAUUAGCUGGUUGGCGGGGUAAAGGCCCACCAAGGCGACGAUCAGUAGCCGGCCUGAGAGGGUGGACGGCCACAUUGGGACUGAGACACGGCCCAAACUCCUACGGGAGGCAGCAGUGGGGGAUAUUGGACAAUGGGGGGAACCCUGAUCCAGCGACGCCGCGUGAGUGAAGAAGUAUUUCGGUAUGUAAAGCUCUGUCAGCAGGGAAGAAAGCAAUGACGGUACCUGACCAAGAAGCCCCGGCUAACUACGUGCCAGCAGCCGCGGUAAUACGUAGGGGGCAAGCGUUAUCCGGAAUUACUGGGUGUAAAGGGAGCGUAGACGGCUGUGCAAGUCUGGAGUGNAAAG